Molecule: transfer RNA, 73 nt
Filed under: Ailuropoda melanoleuca (giant panda)
Lineage: Eukaryota; Metazoa; Chordata; Mammalia; Carnivora; Ursidae
Description: tRNA-Arg (CCT) (tRNA-Arg-CCT-10-1)
Rfam family: tRNA
About the family: Transfer RNA (tRNA) molecules are approximately 80 nucleotides in length. Their secondary structure includes four short double-helical elements and three loops (D, anti-codon, and T loops). Further hydrogen bonds mediate the characteristic L-shaped molecular structure. tRNAs have two regions of fundamental functional importance: the anti-codon, which is responsible for specific mRNA codon recognition, and the 3' end, to which the tRNAs corresponding amino acid is attached (by aminoacyl-tRNA synthetases). tRNAs cope with the degeneracy of the genetic code in two manners: having more than one tRNA (with a specific anti-codon) for a particular amino acid; and 'wobble' base-pairing, i.e. permitting non-standard base-pairing at the 3rd anti-codon position.
Source: Rfam by way of RNAcentral
ACCCAGCUGGCUCAGUCGGUGGAGCGUCAGACUCCUGAUCUUGGGGUCAUGAGUUCAAGCCUCACGUUGGGUG